Molecule: transfer RNA, 74 nt
Filed under: Bos taurus (domestic cattle)
Lineage: Eukaryota; Metazoa; Chordata; Mammalia; Artiodactyla; Bovidae
Also listed under: 1 other name
Rfam family: tRNA
About the family: Transfer RNA (tRNA) molecules are approximately 80 nucleotides in length. Their secondary structure includes four short double-helical elements and three loops (D, anti-codon, and T loops).
Source: Rfam by way of RNAcentral
UCUCUGGUGGUCCAGAGGCUUACGACUCUGUGCUCCCAAUGAAGGGGGCCCAGGUUCAAUUCCUGGUCAGGGAG